AACCUAGCACACCUGCGGUGUGUACCUGCGGAAGGAUCAUUACAAGUGACCCCGGUCUAACCACCGGGAUGUUCAUAACCCUUUGUUGUCCGACUCUGUUGCCUCCGGGGCGACCCUGCCUUCGGGCGGGGGCUCCGGGUGGACACUUCAAACUCUUGCGUAACUUUGCAGUCUGAGUAAACUUAAUUAAUAAAUUAAAACUUUCAGCAACGGAUCU
Molecule: unclassified non-coding RNA, 217 nt
Filed under: soil metagenome
Description: partial contains 5.8S ribosomal RNA, internal transcribed spacer 2, and large subunit ribosomal RNA
Source: RNAcentral